CUUUGAGUUGUCCUUGAGUGAAUGCAGUCAGCUGAACCCCUGCAGCAAGGCUGAAGAGUUUGGUGGCACACUCACUGCAUUGGUAUUUAAGGAAGGCAGUACUACAUGUGAAAUUCAUUUUUUGGAGGGUUUUGGAUGGAAUGUCAAGUAGGCGAUCUGAAGCAUUUGGUGCAUUUGUUCCAGUCUGUCAUAGAGUACUAGACUGCAUUAGAGAAUUUAGCCAACAAAAUUUGAGAUUUACAUGUGCAAUAAAGUUGUGAGAAGGGUAAAAAAUAGAGAAGAUGGACUGCAUUCCAAGAGUCCAAGUCAGGAAGACAAUUCCCUUCUCUUCAAGCUGCGCAAUGGGAAAAUCCACAACAUGAGGAAGGAACUCUGCCAUCAGUGAAAGGUGGAAGAGCAGCUCCUGGCUUGAGACGUCAGAGGAGUACAGAUAGGAGUAAUCAAAUAAUGUGUGGUGUUUUAUUUUAAUAUCCUGAGUUUUUAUGGAGUUGGAAAACAACAUCAAAAUUUCCAGGAUUUUAGCUGUAAAAAAAUCCUUUAGUAAAAUGUUAGUAAAAUAAAUAAUAUCAAAUAAUGGGUAAAAAUACUGCAAUUUAAAAAUUGUGCAUACUCUGAAUGUUAGAACAAUCCUCAGCACAUCUUUGGGCCAGGACAAAUAGUUUUCUUCCAAGGACAGUGUGGGAACAAGGCAUGGGGCAGGUAUCCUUCCAUACCAAUGGUUUUCAUGUGCAAACUGUCAUGGAUGCGAAAGCACUAUUAAAUGUAGCCCACAGUAUAUAGUCAAUGUGUGCAGCUCUGUUCAGGGCUAGAGAGCCUGCCCUGGGAGUAUUAAUAACUUAGAUGUCUCCAGAGCUUUCCUGUGAGCAGAAAAAUGGGGCAGGGUGACACUGAAAGAGCAAGGUUCUGUGCUGAGAAUCCUCUCUCCCCUCCUGUUCAUUGGUGCCUCUGCAUCGAGUUUGCUCUCUGCUGUGCUGUGGACAAACAGCCCAUGUUACCUUUACACAAAUGCUUAGACACUUGAGACAGGAAACUUUAAAAUAAAAUAGUAGAAGCAGAGUAGAACAGAUGAGUCUUACAUUGCUUAGUGUGUAGUGGUUAUGAUCUUUAUUAUUUUAUUUUCUGAAAAUAAGUGGUACCAUAAUUGUGCAUGAAGUAGCAAGAAUUACUGAUGUUAUACCUGCUGAUAACCAUCACAGGGAAUAAACUGACUCUAAUCCUCUGUAAAUCUUUAUUCAUACAAUGUAUUUUCUGGACUAUUAAAAAAAAAUACAGAUUGAUUUGGAUCAGGACAAGGUAUAUGUUUCAAA
Molecule: long non-coding RNA, 1307 nt
Organism: Passer domesticus (house sparrow)
Lineage: Eukaryota; Metazoa; Chordata; Aves; Passeriformes; Passeridae
Exons: 3
Source: RefSeq, a predicted model, not a curated record